Molecule: ribosomal RNA, 253 nt
Filed under: uncultured bacterium
Lineage: Bacteria
Description: partial 16S ribosomal RNA
Rfam family: Bacterial small subunit ribosomal RNA
Source: RNAcentral
UACGGGGGGGGCAAGCGUUGUUCGGAAUUACUGGGCGUAAAGGGCUCGUAGGCGGCCAACUAAGUCGGACGUGAAAUCCCUCGGCUUAACCGGGGAACUGCGUCCGAUACUGGAUGGCUUGAGUUUGGGAGAGGGAUGCGGAAUUCCAGGUGUAGCGGUGAAAUGCGUAGAUAUCUGGAGGAACACCGGUGGCGAAGGCGGCAUCCUGGACCAACACUGACGCUGAGACGCGAAAGCGUGGGGAGCGAACAGG